UGUUGUGUAUCUGUUAGCAUCAUUUGCUC
Molecule: non-coding RNA, 29 nt
Filed under: Rattus norvegicus (Norway rat)
Lineage: Eukaryota; Metazoa; Chordata; Mammalia; Rodentia; Muridae
Source: RNAcentral